AUUUUUUCUUAAAGUGGGUGAAAUUCAACCGUGGUUGCAUGCUCCCCUUCAUCAAAGUCAUUAAUCAGACAGCUUCAUGGAGUUUGCAAAGUCCCAAAAGGUGAGGUAGCACUCAUGCUGCUGAGAAGAGAUAGAUUUGCUUUAUAGAACAGAAGGCAGUGAGCUUUUUGUGGUGCUUAGUUUCAUGAAUUUGAAGAUGAGUUGGAGAGGGUGUGUCGGGUUCUUUCGUGUGAGAAUUCUUCAGAGAUCUUUUACAAGCAAUAACUUUAGAACAUAAAUUACCCAGGCAGGUAAAGGAGUUGGACUAAAAAAAAAGUUCGCAUUGGCUGAAACCUUAGGAGAAAAAUCUUUGGAUAAGAUCUUCAAACCUGGCGGCAUUAUGGUCCUCAUUCUUGUAGUUAACUCUGACUUUUAUUUUCAACUUUUCGACAAGAGAGGCAACAUUCUCAAAAGAAUAUCAAUAUUGAACAGUACUUUUGUGAAGAACUAUGCAAAAGUGAUAACUGAACCAACCAAUGCUUCUCACUCACCAGGAACGUGUAAAGGAAGGGAUGCUUUCUUUAAACGAUUUCACUGAACUGAAUUUAUCACAUGAAGAUGUGUCCUUUUCGGUCUGACGAUCUAUACGACUUUGCUGCAUCUUGGAGGUGACCAUUAACAAGAAUUAAGAAGAUCAUAAAACCACUUUGUAUGAAUCCAGACACUUAAAAAACUUAGAGUGAAGCUCAAUGAGGGACCUCAA
Molecule: long non-coding RNA, 742 nt
Filed under: Physcomitrium patens
Lineage: Eukaryota; Viridiplantae; Streptophyta; Bryopsida; Funariales; Funariaceae
Description: long non-coding RNA (PPAT_LNC013684)
Source: RNAcentral